CCAUCGGUUGGAAUCGGCGAAACUGCUCCGUCGCCAGUUAAAAAACCGGCUCCAACACGUAAUGCACUCAAAUUGGGUGGCAAAUCGAAGGAUGUUGAUAGUUUCGUUUACCAAUUGAAGAAUUGAUCCAUUCUCAGUUGAAACCAUAUUCUAUCCCGAGAAAUACGAAAUUGCCUGAAGUAAUUAGAAUCACAUUUAUGUUUAAUAUUCCAUUGCUGCAAAAUGUACCAAUUGUAAUGGUGUUAUUAUUUCAAUUUAUCUACAUUUUAACAUUUAUUCAAUAAAUUGCAUUUCUUUCGAAGAAGAAAAUUAUACUUUA
Long non-coding RNA from Sitodiplosis mosellana (orange wheat blossom midge), 319 nucleotides. RefSeq lists it as uncharacterized. Lineage: Eukaryota; Metazoa; Arthropoda; Insecta; Diptera; Cecidomyiidae. The transcript has 2 exons. The record is from RefSeq and is a predicted model, not a curated record.